This is a long non-coding RNA of Ornithodoros turicata, 100 nucleotides long. RefSeq lists it as uncharacterized. The transcript is spliced from 3 exons. The record is from RefSeq and is a predicted model, not a curated record. Lineage: Eukaryota; Metazoa; Arthropoda; Arachnida; Ixodida; Argasidae.
AUUGCAAAUGGCGGCAGGAGAGGAUCGGCUGCAUAGGUGACCGUAGGACUGUAUCGAUUGCGAGGAGGUUGUUUCCUGUCUCAACGGCCACACAUACGCG